AAACCAGUUAGACGGUGUCAGUAAAACUAGACGGCUCUAUUUUGUGUCGAGGGGAAAAUAAACCAUUUCAGGAGUAAAAACACAGGUUUGAUUUAACACACCGAUGUUGGAGUGAAGUAAACGUGUGUCCUGCUGUAAUCUGGAGGAGACAUGACCUCCAACAUGAGUGUGUCUGGAGACCAGGACUUAAAGAAAGACGAGAGAAUGAUGGAGGGAAAGAGAUCAGACUCACCAGAAUCCAGCUGUGUGUCCAUGAAGAGUGACCGGUCAGUGGGUGUUCCACUUAACUUCAGAGACGGAGCCAGUUCUCCUGAUAUGAGACCACAAAAGAAGAAAUCAAACAUCUGCAGAAAUCAGCUGGACUCCAUAUUCAGGUGUGUGUGUCUUUUUAAUGUGUGUAACUUGUGUGUGAGUAGGUUGCUGUGGUAAUAGAAAGAGACCUUUCUUCUUUUCAUAAAAUAAAAGCAUCUCUCAAUGUGUAACAUUCUAAUAUUUAGAUGUGUUCCUGUGUGUUUCUAAACAGGAGCUGGAACACAAAGUCAUCACUCUGAUAAAGAAUGAAUUGAAGAGGUUUAGGAAGCUCCUGAGUCCAGAUUACCCAGCAUGCUCUGAGAGGGAGGUGGAGGAUGAGGAGGAUCUGCACAGUGUCAGAGAG
Ictalurus punctatus (channel catfish) is the source of this 655-nucleotide long non-coding RNA. The record is from Ensembl. Lineage: Eukaryota; Metazoa; Chordata; Actinopteri; Siluriformes; Ictaluridae.